This 495-nucleotide ribosomal RNA is filed under the name Yoshiicerus similis. Its description in RNAcentral is "Tomocerus similis partial 16S ribosomal RNA". It matches the Rfam family "Bacterial large subunit ribosomal RNA", at positions 1825 to 2610 of the family's 2925-position model. Lineage: Eukaryota; Metazoa; Arthropoda; Collembola; Entomobryomorpha; Tomoceridae. The record is from RNAcentral.
AACAUUUCUUAUAGAUCUUUUAAUAAGUAUGACCUGCCCACUGUUUAAUAAUAAAGGGCCGCGGUAUAUUGACCGUGCAAAGGUAGCAUAAUCAUUAGUCUUUUAAUUGAGGAAUGGUAUGAAUGGUUAAAUGAAUUUUUUCUUUUUUUUUUGAUUUAAAAUUUUAAAAAUUUGAUUUUAAGUGAAAAUACUUAAUUUUCUUAAAAAGACGAUAAGACCCUAUAGAGUUUAAUUACUAUUUUUUUUAUUAAAAAAUAUAGUUAUUUAAUUGGGGCAAUUAUAGAAUAAUAAAAAUUUCUUUUUAUAUAUAUAUAUUGAAAUAUCUAUUUUUAAUAGUUUAAUAAAACUACCUUAGGGAUAACAGCGUAAUUUUUAUUAAGAGUUCUUAUCGACAUAAAAGAUUGCGACCUCGAUGUUGAAUUAAAUAUUCUUUAUAGGAGCAGAAUUUUAUAAAAAGUAGUCUGUUCGACUAUUAAAUUUUUACAUGAUCUGAGU